This 1382-nucleotide ribosomal RNA is filed under the name metagenome. RNAcentral's name for it is "bacterial LSU rRNA". It matches the Rfam family "Bacterial large subunit ribosomal RNA", at positions 908 to 2302 of the family's 2925-position model. The record is from RNAcentral.
CGACUGAUUGGAUGCGAGGGCUUCACCGCCUAUCAAGUCCAGACAAACUCCGAAUGCACACAGGCUAAGCCCGGGAGUGAGGGCGUGGGUGCUAAGGUCCACGCCCGAGAGGAGAAGAAUCCUGACCACCGGCUAAGGCCCCGAAAUAUAGGCUAAGUUAAACUAACGAAGUGUGGUCCCCGUGACAGCUAGGAUGUUGGCUUGGAAGCAGCCAUUCAUUCAAAGAGUGCGUAACAGCUCACUAGUCGAGGGACUGUGCAUGGAUAAUAAUCGGGUAUAAAGUCUAUUGCCGAAGCUGUGGGAUAUCUAAUGAUAUCGGUAGGGGAGCAUUCAUGCGGCCUUGAAGAUAGAGGAUAACCUCUGUUGGAGCUUCAUGAAAAGCAAAUGUAGGUAUAAGUAACGAUAAAGAGUGUGAGAUGCACUCUCGCCGAAAGACUAAGGUUUCCAGGGCAACGUUAAUCGUCCCUGGGUCAGUCGGGACCUAAGGUUCAACCUAAUGGUGAUGCCGAUGGCAGAAACGGUUAAUAUUCCGUUACUAUCUUUGUUGGCGAUGUGGAGACGGAGGAGUGACACUUCCGCGAGCUGACGGAAUAGCUCGUUAAAGAUUGUAGGUAAUGAGGAUGGCAGGCAAAUCCACCAUCCGAGCUGAAAGUCGAUAGUAUACAGCGUCUUCGGACAAUGUAAUAGUGAAGGUAAUCCUACUCCCGAGAAAAUCCGCUAAGCUUAACAACAAAGAUACCCGUACCGUAAACGGACACACGUAGUCGGGUAGAAUAUACUAAGGCGCUUGGAAGAUUCAUGGUUAAGGAACUAGGCAAAUUGACCCCGUAACUUCGGAAUAAGGGGUCCUCACAGUAAUGUGAGGCGCAGAGAAUCGGCCCAGGCAACUGUUUAACAAAAACACAGGGCUGUGCAAAAUCGAAAGAUGCAGUAUACAGUCUGACACCUGCCCGGUGCUGGAAGGUUAAGAGGAGAGCUUAGACGUAAGUCGAAGGUUUGAAUUGAAGCCCCAGUAAACGGCGGCCGUAACAAUAACGGUCCUAAGGUAGCGAAAUUCCUUGUCGGGUAAGUUCCGACCUGCACGAAUGGUGUAAUGAUCUGGGCACUGUCUCAACCAUGAUUCCAGUGAAAUUGUAGUAUCGGUGAAGAUGCCGAUUACCCGCGAUGGGACGAAAAGACCCCGUGAACCUUUACUAUAGCUUAACGUUGUAAUUGGGCAGUCGAUGUGUAGGAUAGGUCGGAGGCUUUGAAGCAGGCACGCCAGUGUUUGUGGAGCCGCUGUUGAAAUACGACCCUUUGGCUGUCUGGUUCCUAACUCUCAGAUGAGAGGACCGCGUUUGGUGGGUAGUUUGACUGGGGUGGUCGCCUCCAAAAGCGUAACG